This 190-nucleotide ribosomal RNA is filed under the name uncultured Banisveld landfill bacterium BVC05. Its description in RNAcentral is "partial 16S ribosomal RNA". It matches the Rfam family "Bacterial small subunit ribosomal RNA", at positions 338 to 523 of the family's 1533-position model. The record is from RNAcentral.
CUUACGGGAGGCAGCAGUUAGGGGACUUGUGCAUGGGGGAAACCUGACACAGCAACGCCGCGUGAGGGAUGAAGCCUUCGGGUUGUAAAGCUCUUUCAGCCGGAAAGAAAACGCACGGGUUAAUACCUUGUGUGGAUGACGGUACCGGAAUAAGAAGCACCGGCUAACUACGUGCCAGCAGCGGCGGUAU